UGUAUCUAUGUGUGUGUGUGUGUGUGUGUGUGUGUGUGUGUGUGUGUGUGUGUCUCCCUAUCAGUUAGACAAGUCAUUAUUCUUGGCUGACAGCGCUCAGCUCCCGCUCCUCUGCCAGGUAAUGAAUUCUCCUCCAGAUAAAGAAAAUAAAAAUCAUCUUUAAUUUCUCCGCCUCGCUGUUGUGUAAACUCUGAUUCUUUCCGCCCGGGUGCGUUGGAUUCGCCGCCCCGCCGCUCCCUGCCUGCCUGCCUGCCUGCCUGUCGCCUUCCUCAGACGGCCUACAAGUGGAGAGAGAUGAUGAUGGUGAAGCAGACGCUCCGCUGCGGAUGAAAGAACUGCCGUGAAAUAUGAUGGAUAAAUGGUUGCGGCAGUUAAACUAUAGCUCGGCUCUACGGGUGCAGACAGGGGACAAAAAGGACGUUCACCAGCAGCCGUCUCACACCGGUUCAGUCAGGUAGCCGCGGCAACGAGAGCAGAACUGAUCGAUGUCCUCAGACUCUUCGUUAAUGCUUUAACUCGCCGUUUGUAAUUACAUGAAAGGUUUAUCUGCCGCAAAGGCUGCAAGAUCCUUUUGUGAAUUCUCCCCUUGAGACGCCAAGUUUGCAAUAAAAGAUUAACAGCUAAAAAAAAACAGUGAGGUCUGCAGGAUCCUAAACAACGAGGAAGUGAAGUCAGUUUCAACUAAAACAGGUCUCACAGGGCUGAUAUUACCUGAGACGUCCAGUGAUUUGCAGUAAUUGCAGAGGCCUCGCUUCUUUUUCCAUGAUUUUAAUUCAAACUUGUUUGCACAAAUUACGUCGGCGCAGACAGGUCGCCUGAUAACACUAAUCCUGCACAAAUCGAACUCCUGGUAAGUUUGAGCUGUAAUUUUGUUUUGACGUGUGAUUUCUUCUCCUCCUCCUUCUUCUUCUUCUUCUUCUUCUUCUUCUUCUUCUACAAGAUGAGAUUUCUGUCAGGAAACAUAGAAACCUCGGGAAGAGACUUUUGGAAGCUUUUUGCUGAUUUGGACAAAGAUUCAUAGUAAAAUCUUGAC
Molecule: long non-coding RNA, 1033 nt
Organism: Thunnus maccoyii (southern bluefin tuna)
Lineage: Eukaryota; Metazoa; Chordata; Actinopteri; Scombriformes; Scombridae
Exons: 5
Source: RefSeq, a predicted model, not a curated record